GUCCACGCCCUAAACGAUGUCAACUGGCUGUUGGGAGAGAAAUCUUUCAGUAGCGAAGCUAACGCGUGAAGUUGACCGCCUGGGGAGUACGGCCGCAAGGUUGAAACUCAAAGGAAUUGACGGGGGCCCCGCACAAGCGGUGGAUGAUGUGGAUUAAUUCGAUGCAACGCGAAGAACCUUACCUACCCUUGACAUGCCAGGAAUCCCGGAGAGAUCCGGGGGUGCCCGAAAGGGAACCUGGACACAGGUGCUGCAUGGCUGUCGU
RNAcentral lists this ribosomal RNA (265 nucleotides) under uncultured bacterium. Its description in RNAcentral is "partial 16S ribosomal RNA". It matches the Rfam family "Bacterial small subunit ribosomal RNA", at positions 793 to 1055 of the family's 1533-position model. The record is from RNAcentral.